UCAAGCUACAAAGAGCGCAAGGGGAAUGCCUUGGCACCAGGAGCCGACGAAGGACGCGGCAAUCUGCGAUAAGCCACGGGGAGCCGAAAGCAGGCAUCGAUCCGUGGAUUUCCGAAUGGGGAAACCCGGCUGAGCAAUACUCAGUCAAGGUAUGCUGAAUACAUAGGCAUAUCUGGGGAACCGCCUGAACUGAAACAUCUCAGUAGGGCGAGGAAAAGAAAUCAACCGAGAUUCCGCCAGUAGUGGCGAGCGAACGCGGAAGAGGCUAAACCAAGGGUAGAAAUACCUUUGGGGUUUUGGACGACAUAACGGUAUUGACAGAGGUUAGUGGAAGGGCAUGGGACGGCCCACCAAAGAGAGUGAUAGUCUCGUACACGAAAACUGAAGUCAGCCAGUCGUAUCCAAAGUACCGCCGGACACGUGAAACCCGGUGGGAAGAUGGGGGGACCAUCCUCCAAGCCUAAAUACUCCCUGGUGACCGAUAGCGUAUAGUACUGUGAAGGAAAGGUGAAAAGAACCCCGGGAGGGGAGUGAAAAGAACCUGAAACCUUGUGCUUACAAGCACGCAAAGCACGUCAAUGUGUGAUGCGGUACCUUUUGUAGAAUGGUCCGGCGAGUGAGUCUAACUAGCCAGGUUAAGUGCUUAAGGCACGCAGCCGUAGCGAAAGCGAGUCUGAAUAGGGCGUAUGAAGUUAGUUGGAUUCGACCCGAAACCGGGUGACCUAUCCAUGUCCAGGCUGAAGUGGAGGUAAAACUCCAUGGAGGGCCGAACCCACUGAUGUUGAAAAAUCACGGGAUGAGGUGUGGCUAGCGGUGAAAUUCCAAUCGAACCCGGAGAUAGCUGGUUCUCUCCGAAAUAGUUUUAGGACUAGCCUCGAUAAGACAUUGCCGGAGGUAGAGCACUGAAUGGGCUAGGGGCCGAGAGGCUACCGCCCCCUAUCAAACUCCGAAUGCCGGUUAAUGACGAUUAUCGGGAGUCAGACUAUGUGAGAUAAGUUUCAUAGUCGAGAGGGAAACAACCCAGACCCACAGCUAAGGUCCCUAAGUAUGAUUAAGUGUAAAAGGAUGUGGAGCUGCAAAGACAACCAGGAUGUUGGCUUAGAAGCAGCCAUUCAUUGAAAGAGUGCGUAACAGCUCACUGGUCAAGUGGCUCUGCGCCGAAAAUGUAACGGGGCUAAAUCAUACACCGAAGCUUGGGAAUUUAGAUGUUAGACAGUAGACAUUAGAAGUUAGAAGUGAAGAGACGGGAGUGAGAUCUCAAUUGAGUGGAUAUCGAGACUUAAAGGUAUACGAACGGUCGUAUGCCGGCGCAAGAUCGAUAUACAAGCUGACACAAAGUUAUCCGAAAGAGGAAGUGUACGGCAUAAGCAGUCAAAUGAGAAGGUCAUCAUUGUCAAUAGCGCUGAACAUAGCUGAAGGUUAUGCUAAAAGAGAAAGCCAGGCAGAAUUCAAGAGAUUUUUGUAUAUGGCUUUAGGUUCAGCGAAUGAAUUGAGCGUACUGAUAGAGUUUUCAAAGGAUUUAGGAUACAUAGGUGAAGAAGUGUAUCUGAAAGCGUCCAAAGAAUAUGAAGAGAUAAGCAAAAUGCUCAAUGCAUUGAUUCAGACAAUUACACGUCAAAACAAUCACAUCUAAAAUCUAAUAUCUAGCGUCUAACAUCUAAGUUGGUAGGAGAGCGUUGAAUACGGGGUGAAGUCGUAGCGAGAGCGGCGGUGGACUGUAUUCAAGUGAGAAUGCCGGAAUGAGUAGCGAGAUUUAUGUGAGAAUCAUAAAGGCCGAAAGACUAAGGAUUCAGAAGGAAGGUUCGUCCGCUUCUGGUUAGCCGGGGGCUAAGGUGAGGCCGAAAGGCGUAGCCGAUGCAUAUACGGUGGAAAUUCCGUAGCCGCCGAAAGAUUUAAGUAAAGGGACACUUUGAAAGUUCAUGACCCGGGCGUUGGUAGCCCCGGGCGAAAGGGACCGAAAAUUACAAGUAGGGAAGCAUGAAUGGACAGAGGCGAGAAAAGCUUUAUGAAUAUCUAAGGCGCCCGUACCGCAAACCGACACAGGUAGUUAGGAAGAAGAUUCUAAGGCCAUCGGGAGAAGGGUAGUUAAGGAACUCGGCAAAUUGACCCCGUAACUUCGGAAGAAGGGGUGGUGCGUACGCGCACCCGCAGUGAAAAGGUCCAGGCGACUGUUUAUCAAAAACACAGCUCUCUGCUAAAUCGAAAGAUGACGUAUAGGGGGUGACACCUGCCCGGUGCCGGAAGGUUAAGAGGAGGAGUGCAAGCUUUGAAUCGAAGCCCCGGUAAACGGCGGCCGUAACUAUAACGGUCCUAAGGUAGCGAAAUUCCUUGUCGGGUAAGUUCCGACCCGCACGAAUGGUGUAACGACCCGGACACUGUCUCAACUGCCCGCCCGGCGAAAUUGUAGUACCGGUGAAGAUGCCGGUUACCCGCGGCAAGACGGAAAGACCCCAUGGAGCUUUACUGUAGCCUAAUAUUGGGUUUUGGUACUUUAUGUACAGGAUAGGCGGGAGACUUGGAAGCUGUUACGUCAGUGAUAGUGGAGUCAUCGUUGGGAUACCGCCCUUAGAGUGCUGAAAUUCUAACCUUCGGCCGUGAAUCCGGUCGGGGAACAUUGUUAGGUGGGCAGUUUGACUGGGGCGGUCGCCUCCCAAAGAGUAACGGAGGCGCUCAAAGGUUAGCUCAGCACGGACGGAAACCGUGCUUUAGAGUGCAAACGCGAAAGCUAGCCUAACUGCGAGGCCUACAAGCCGAGCAGUAACGAAAGUUGGAGUUAGUGAUCCGGCGGUAUGUGAAUGG
RNAcentral lists this ribosomal RNA (2799 nucleotides) under anaerobic digester metagenome. Its description in RNAcentral is "bacterial LSU rRNA". It matches the Rfam family "Bacterial large subunit ribosomal RNA", at positions 3 to 2436 of the family's 2925-position model. The record is from RNAcentral.